AUACGGAGGGUGCAAGCGUUAAUCGGAAUUACUGGGCGUAAAGAGUACGUAGGUGGUUCGUUAAGUCAGAUGUGAAAGCCCAGGGCUCAACCUUGGAACUGCAUUUGAAACUGGCAAACUAGAGUAUGGUAGAGGGGGGUAGAAUUCAUGGUGUAGCGGUGAAAUGCGUAGAUAUUAUGAGGAAUACCAGUGGCGAAGGCGGCCCCCUGGACCAAUACUGACACUGAGGUACGAAAGCGUGGGUAGCGAACAGGAUUAGAAACCCUAGUAGUCC
RNAcentral lists this ribosomal RNA (274 nucleotides) under uncultured bacterium. Its description in RNAcentral is "partial 16S ribosomal RNA". It matches the Rfam family "Bacterial small subunit ribosomal RNA", at positions 523 to 796 of the family's 1533-position model. The record is from RNAcentral.